Molecule: long non-coding RNA, 1783 nt
Organism: Lathyrus oleraceus (garden pea)
Lineage: Eukaryota; Viridiplantae; Streptophyta; Magnoliopsida; Fabales; Fabaceae
Exons: 3
Source: RefSeq, a predicted model, not a curated record
ACUCACAACGUGCCCAACCUCACCUCUUAGUUCACCGUCCGUUCACUUGGCUCACCGCGCCAAUGACUAUCACCGACGUCGGUGCUGGCUUACAGACUAACUACCACCACCAUUAGAAGCACAGCGACAAGCUAAGCACGAAUAUAGGGACGAAAUUGUGAAACAGUCUCUAUAUUGGUCGAAUCGAACAGCCAAAUGAAGGAACCCUAGCUAUCUACAAGUUAAAUUAAACGGUGCUCGGUGCAAAUCGAUCCCUAAUACUAUGGGGAUUCUUCUUCCUAACCUAGGUACUACAUCUUGGUGAGCUCAGAAUAAUAAAAUGACACUGAAAGGAAAAUGACAUACCAGAGAAGAUGAUCAAAAAAUCCACCGGAUACAGGGCCAAUGCACUUUGCUUCCAAAUUCAUGAUUCAAGUAAACUCAAUAUGUUGGUAGCUCCAUUUUGCUUGUUGCAUACCUUGAGGUAUGUCUCAUUAUUGUGACUUGGUUGUAGCAGUCAUGAGUCCAGUUGGUGGAUAAGCUGUAGUUGUCAAUGGCCAUGAUAGUUAUGUCUUGUAACCUGGUUUUGUUGGUAUAACACAGUUAGGUAGGCUUAGGAUCUAGUAUGCACAUAGCUAGAUAGCCCAAUGCUUAUAGCUUGCUGACAACUUAUCAUGGUCUGCUGUUGCUUGUAAGCGGGCCAACAUGCCUAGGUUCCCAUUGCCCUAUAUUUUGUUGCUUUGAUUCUUCUUGCACAAGGUGUAAUCUUGAUGCAAGUUUUGUGGUCAUGUAAGGCAUUCAUGAGCUACCACAUACAUGUAAUGAUGUUGUGGCUUACUUGUGGUCUUGGUGUUGACACAAAUUCAGUCUGUUAGUUGAUGUUGCUUGGGACAACCCUUGGUGACUUGAUGCAGAUUGGUGCAGAAUACUCGCAAGGUUGUUUUGCACUCAGGUAUGCAACUGGAUUUGCAGCCUUGUUAACCAUUCAAAUUGAUGUGGCCUGGUUUAGGUUUAUGCCAGUCACCUGUUAUGUUGCUGUUUGCAGGUUUUAGCCAUGGUGUUUAGUGAUGAUGGCAAGAGUACACAUAAUAUGGAAUGGACUUACAUCAGGUGUAAGGAUCAUGGGGGUUUCUAGGUUGCAGCUUCCAUGAGCCAUCAUCACCAUAAACUGCAAGUGUGAGUAUGUCUGAUGGUCAGGUAAAGGUUAUGUUGCUGCUGCAGGGUAUUAGGAAAGGCAAUCUGCAGCAUGAUAUUGAACUGACUGUUGCAGUAGCAGGGCUGGCAUGUCAUGUAUUCCCAUUGGCUUGAUCAUACAUUUCCAUGGUUUGAUGUCUAAGGUUUUUGUUGCAGGCAAGGGUGAUAAGCAGUGAACAAGUGUUGGGAUGUGUUAGACCUCUUUGGGAAUUGACUAGGGAGAAACCAAAGCCAAAGGUUAUUGGUUCCAAAAUGCCAAAUGAUAAGGUUUGCACAAUGUGAGUUACUUGUGAUGGAAGUAAUCAAGAAAAACACCACCAAGCAUGAAGGUUGGAUGAUUCACUACAGCAAAAUGCCAGGCCAAGUUAGGAUAGUCAAGAGCAAGUGAGAGUUGACUUUGGUCAAAGUUGACCAAAAAGUCAACUAUUGACCAAAGUCAACAAAUGGUCAAAAAUGCAUUUUCUUUGUAAAUGGACAAUGAAUUGUUGGUUAAGGUGAAAUUUAGGGUUUUUGGAUUUUGGGUUGACUUUGGUCAAAGUUGACCAAAAAGUCAACUGUUGACCAAAGUCAACAUUUGGUCAAAAUGUCAAGACUUGUAUUUUCUUAUGUA